Molecule: ribosomal RNA, 204 nt
Filed under: Cronobacter turicensis
Lineage: Bacteria; Pseudomonadati; Pseudomonadota; Gammaproteobacteria; Enterobacterales; Enterobacteriaceae
Description: partial 16S ribosomal RNA
Rfam family: Bacterial small subunit ribosomal RNA
Source: RNAcentral
UUAAUUGAAGAGUUUGAUCAUGGCUCAGAUUGAACGCUGGCGGCAGGCCUAACACAUGCAAGUCGAACGGUAACAGAGAGCAGCUUGCUGCUCUGCUGACGAGUGGCGGACGGGUGAGUAAUGUCUGGGAAACUGCCUGAUGGAGGGGGAUAACUACUGGAAACGGUAGCUAAUACCGCAUAACGUCUUCGGACCAAAGUGGGG